RNAcentral lists this ribosomal RNA (555 nucleotides) under uncultured Entrophospora. RNAcentral describes it as "SSU rRNA". It matches the Rfam family "Eukaryotic small subunit ribosomal RNA", at positions 548 to 1098 of the family's 1831-position model. Lineage: Eukaryota; Fungi; Glomeromycota; Glomeromycetes; Entrophosporales; Entrophosporaceae. The record is from RNAcentral.
UUGGAGGGCAAGUCUGGUGCCAGCAGCCGCGGUAAUUCCAGCUCCAAUAGCGUAUAUUAAAGUUGUUGCAGUUAAAAAGCUCGUAGUUGAAUUUCGGGAUUGACACAUCGGUCGUGCCUUAAGGGGUAUGAACUGGUGUAGUCAAUUUCUCACCUUCUGGAGAACCACGAUGCCCUUAAUUGGGUGUCGCGGGGAACCAGGACCUUUACUUUGAAAAAAUUAGAGUGUUUAAAGCAGGCAUUUUGCUUGAAUACAUUAGCAUGGAAUAAUAAAAUAGGACGGCAUGAUUCUAUUUUGUUGGUUUCUAGGAUCACCGUAAUGAUUAAUAGGGAUAGUUGGGGGCAUUAGUAUUCAAUUGUCAGAGGUGAAAUUCUUGGAUUUAUUGAAGACUAACUACUGCGAAAGCAUUUGCCAAGGAUGUUUUCAUUAAUCAAGAACGAAAGUUAGGGGAUCGAAGACGAUCAGAUACCGUCGUAGUCUUAACCAUAAACUAUGCCGACUAGGGAUCGGAUGAUGUUAAUUUUUUAAUGACUCAUUCGGCGCCUUACGGGAAAC